This 605-nucleotide ribosomal RNA is filed under the name uncultured Bacteroidota bacterium. RNAcentral describes it as "bacterial SSU rRNA". It matches the Rfam family "Bacterial small subunit ribosomal RNA", at positions 315 to 916 of the family's 1533-position model. Lineage: Bacteria; Pseudomonadati; Bacteroidota. The record is from RNAcentral.
CGUACUGAGACACGGACCAGACUCCUACGGGAGGCAGCAGUGAGGAAUAUUGGACAAUGGGAGCAAUCCUGAUCCAGCCAUGCCGCGUGCAGGAAGACUGCCCUAUGGGCUGUAAACUGCUUUUAUACAGGAAGAAAAAGGUGUACGUGUACACUGUUGACGGUACUGUAAGAAUAAGGAUCGGCUAACUCCGUGCCAGCAGCCGCGGUAAUACGGAGGAUCCAAGCGUUAUCCGGAAUCAUUGGGUUUAAAGGGUCCGUAGGCGGGACAAUAAGUCAGUGGUGAAAGUCUGCAGCUCAACUGUAGAAUUGCCAUUGAUACUGUUGUUCUUGAGUGCUUGUGAAGUGGUUAGAAUGAGUAGUGUAGCGGUGAAAUGCAUAGAUAUUACUCAGAAUACCGAUUGCGAAGGCAGAUCACUAACAAUUCACUGACGCUGAUGGACGAAAGCGUAGGUAGCGAACAGGAUUAGAUACCCUGGUAGUCUACGCCGUAAACGAUGGUUACUAGCUGUUCGGACCAAUUGAGGUCUGAGUGGCUAAGCGAAAGUGAUAAGUAACCCACCUGGGGAGUACGUUCGCAAGAAUGAAACUCAAAGGAAUUGACGG